GGACCCGCACAAGUAGUGGAGCAUGUGGUUUAAUUCGAAGAUACGCGCAGAACCUUACCAACACUUGACAUGUUCGUCGCGACUUUAAGAGAUUAAAGUUUUCGGUUCGGCCGGACGAAACACAGGUGCUGCAUGGCUGUCGUCAGCUCGUGUCGUGAGAUGUUGGUUAAGUCCCGCAACGAGCGCAACCCUCACUUUUAGUUGCCAUCAUUAAGUUGGGCACUCUGAAAGAACUGCCAGUGAUAAGCUGGAGGAAGGUGGGGAUGACGUCAAGUCCUCAUGGCCCUUACGUGUUGGGCUACACACGUGCUACAAUGGCAGGUACAGAGGGUUGCCAACCCGCGAGGGGGAG
RNAcentral lists this ribosomal RNA (352 nucleotides) under uncultured bacterium. RNAcentral's name for it is "bacterial SSU rRNA". It matches the Rfam family "Bacterial small subunit ribosomal RNA", at positions 917 to 1267 of the family's 1533-position model. The record is from RNAcentral.